AAGGAUCAUUAAUGGUGCUUGCAGAAAUGCUUGCACGGCGGCGGCCUUAAAACGCGCCAAAUGGCACCCUUUGUUUACGAGUACCGUUCGUUUCCUCGGUGGGCUUGCCUGCCAUGAGGACCAACAAAAACCUUUUGUAGUAGCAGUAUCUUCAGUAAAAACAAAUAUUAAAACUUUCAACAACGGAUCUCUUGGUUCUG
Molecule: unclassified non-coding RNA, 200 nt
Filed under: uncultured fungus
Lineage: Eukaryota; Fungi
Description: partial contains 5.8S ribosomal RNA, internal transcribed spacer 2, and large subunit ribosomal RNA
Source: RNAcentral